This 497-nucleotide ribosomal RNA is filed under the name uncultured bacterium. RNAcentral's name for it is "partial 16S ribosomal RNA". It matches the Rfam family "Bacterial small subunit ribosomal RNA", at positions 28 to 507 of the family's 1533-position model. The record is from RNAcentral.
GAUGAACGCUGGUGGCGUGCCUAAUACAUGCAAGUCGAGCGAACGGACGAGAAGCUUGCUUCUCUGAUGUUAGCGGCGGACGGGUGAGUAACACGUGGAUAACCUACCUAUAAGACUGGGAUAACUUCGGGAAACCGGAGCUAAUACCGGAUAAUAUUUUGAACCGCAUGGUUCAAAAGUGAAAGACGGUCUUGCUGUCACUUAUAGAUGGAUCCGCGCUGCAUUAGCUAGUUGGUAAGGUAACGGCUUACCAAGGCAACGAUGCAUAGCCGACCUGAGAGGGUGAUCGGCCACACUGGAACUGAGACACGGUCCAGACUCCUGCGGGAGGCAGCAGUAGGGAAUCUUCCGCAAUGGGCGAAAGCCUGACGGAGCAACGCCGCGUGAGUGAUGAAGGUCUUCGGAUCGUAAAACUCUGUUAUUAGGGAAGAACAUAUGUGUAAGUAACUGUGCACAUCUUGACGGUACCUAAUCAGAAAGCCACGGCUAACUACGUG